UAAAGGGUAUAGAAGUACUGAUAAAGUUUUAAAUCUGAUCAAGGAAACUUAGAGGAUCUUUUCCUAAUAAAUUUUGGGGCAGAGGUGAUGAUAUAUCCUGGUGGGAAAGUUACUACAUAGAAAUAAAACAAGAGAAACAUAAAAAGAAUUAUCACGCUAUAAUACUGUGCAAUAAUUUACAGCAGUUUCCAAGUGGACAUUCUUUUUCUCGCUGCUUUCCGGACAAAUGAGAACGUGAAGACCUUCUGUUAGAUACUGGAUAAAACGGAAAAGAAGAAAAUGACUGCGCUGCUCCUCAGUACGCAGUUGCCACACCUGGUCCCUCCUCGUUGUCCUUGAGGGAAGCCGCCCAUCUGAUGAGUCACGGGCUCACACGGACAAACGUACGCGGUGAUGUUUGUGGAUGGACAUGCUUGCUGCAGGUAACGAGAGACCACCUGCUAUCUCCCGGGCACGGGGCUGGAUCUGUUCUCCUGGCCUGGAAAGUGUCUUCUCCAUUUAAUUCGCACGUGAGAAAACACCGAGCUUAACUUCUGACUGCCACAGAUUCCUGUUCUUUCAAUAUUUUCUGAGACAUAGCAAUAAAAGAUAACGGAUGUGGCCUGAGAACAGUCUGAAUAUUUAUGGCAAAGUCUGAAAAGAGUACAUUCUACAGUCCUAGGCUGUCCGACUGAGAUGCCAUAAGUCACCAUUAUAUCAAAUAGUUGAGCCAGAAGAAGGGACAUAUUUGUGUCUUUAAGAAGGUAGCUUGCUUCUCUUCAUAGAAUGAU
Long non-coding RNA from Camelus dromedarius (Arabian camel), 770 nucleotides. RefSeq lists it as uncharacterized. The record is from RefSeq and is a predicted model, not a curated record. NCBI's taxonomy places the organism in Eukaryota, Metazoa, Chordata, Mammalia, Artiodactyla, Camelidae. The transcript is spliced from 3 exons.